Long non-coding RNA from Nannospalax galili (Upper Galilee mountains blind mole rat), 1023 nucleotides. RefSeq lists it as uncharacterized. Lineage: Eukaryota; Metazoa; Chordata; Mammalia; Rodentia; Spalacidae. The record is from RefSeq and is a predicted model, not a curated record. The transcript is spliced from 3 exons.
UAUCUCUUUCUUUCUUGAGGUUUUCUUCCUUUGUAUCAGAAUGAAGGUCCCUGUAUCUCACGCUUCUGUGUGUACAAUGAAGGCAGAUAAUGAACAUCUCCUGCUCAGUUUAUGAUUCUGCAACUGGAGUGGCAUCUGUGCUGCAACAUUGGCUGCAGUGACUUGUGGCUGGAGUUCUCUGCCUUUCAUGGUGGGAAUGGAUAGCUUGGCCUCACAGACAAAAAGGGAUGUGACUGCAUUGGCCAGAAAAGUUAAAAUCAGCAGCAGAAAGUGACCUCUGUCUUCUGUUAAAACAGCAUGUGUAACCUGGCAACCCAGCGUGACCUAUGGAAGAGUUUAUUUUGGCUUCUGGUCCCAGAGGGGUGAGUGUCCAUCAUGGGAGCAUUGCAGCAACAAGUAGGCAUGUGGCAGGAACAGGAAGCUGAAUGCAUGCAUCUUCAAUCAGAAACAUGAAGCAGAAAGAAAACUGGAAGUGGGGCAAGACUAUGAACUCUCCAAGCCUCAAAGCCCUUCCUCCCAGUGAUGUGUUCAGUCCAGCAAGGCCAUAUCAUCUAAAGAUUCCAUGACUUUACCCAAACAGUGCCACCAACUGGAGACCGAGUGUUCAAAUACUUGAAGUUAUGUGGGACCUUUCUCAUCCACAUCACUGCAUUCUACUCCCUGGCCCCAGAGGUCCAUGGCCAGGUCAUAAUGCAAAAUGCAUUUAGUCUGACUUUGAGUCCCCACAGUCUUUCACAGUUUCAACAAUGUUCAAAAGUUCAAAGUCUCUUCUGAGGCUCAAGUUAACCUCUUACUGUAAUUCCCUGCAAAGUCAAAAAGUGAACUAUGUACUUCCAACAGACAGUGGCACAAAAUAUAAAUUCCCAUUUUAAACAGGUGGAAUGGUGGCAUAAUAAGGAAAUAUGGGACAAAAGGAAGAUCAGCAGGACGGAUCAGGGAGGUGUGACAAGUGGCAGGCUGUUGGGAGCUAUUAAUCCAUUAUGUACAUUGAGCUAUGGCAGGCUUGUUUACUGAGUUUGUGUU